This 406-nucleotide ribosomal RNA is filed under the name Mycale laevis. RNAcentral describes it as "eukaryotic LSU rRNA". It matches the Rfam family "Eukaryotic large subunit ribosomal RNA", at positions 811 to 1216 of the family's 3401-position model. Lineage: Eukaryota; Metazoa; Porifera; Demospongiae; Poecilosclerida; Mycalidae. The record is from RNAcentral.
GCGACCCCGAAAGAUGGUGAACUAUGCCUGAAUAGGGCGAAGCCAGGGGAAACCCUGGUGGAAGCCCGCAGCGAUUCUGACGUGCAAAUCGAUCGUCAAAUUUGGGUAUAGGGGCGAAAGACUAAUCGAACCGUCUAGUAGCUGGUUCCCUCCGAAGUUUCCCUCAGGAUAGCUGGAGCCCGGUGCAGUUUUAUCAGGUAAAGCGAAUGAUUAGAGGUCUCGGGGUCGAAACGACCUCGACCUAUUCUCAAACUUUAAAUGGGUAAGAGGUCCGGCUUGCUCGAUUGAAGUCGGGCGCGGAAUGCCGGGGCUCCUAGUGGGCCAUUUUUGGUAAGCAGAACUGGCGAUGUGGGAUGAACCGAAAGCCGGGUUAAGGUGCCCGAAUCGACGCUCAGCAGAUACCAGG